RNAcentral lists this transfer RNA (43 nucleotides) under Heterololigo bleekeri (Bleeker's squid). RNAcentral's name for it is "tRNA-Glu". The record is from RNAcentral. Lineage: Eukaryota; Metazoa; Mollusca; Cephalopoda; Myopsida; Loliginidae.
UCAAUCUUUUAGAGCACUAUUAAAGUUAUUAGUGUUAAGAAUA